UGCCACAGGCGUCAAGGGGUCCAAAAGGUACUCCUGAUGUACCUUGGCACUGAGUAAAGUCUUGGGUAGCUGGGGAAAAGUGGAGGAGCAAGACUCCUUACUGAGUACUUAGGGUUUAGAGAGUAGUAGGGGUGUUGGAGAAACCUGGUACUCCUACGAAAUCUGAAAAAUCCUGAGGCUGAAAGGUGAGAGGGUACAGGGGAGUUUCCAAGUAGGAUCUGUUGAGCCUGUGGCA
This 235-nucleotide non-coding RNA is filed under the name Dictyoglomus turgidum DSM 6724. Its description in RNAcentral is "Dictyoglomi-1 RNA". It matches the Rfam family "Dictyoglomi-1 RNA". The record is from Rfam by way of RNAcentral. Lineage: Bacteria; Pseudomonadati; Dictyoglomota; Dictyoglomia; Dictyoglomales; Dictyoglomaceae.